CGCCCCGCGGCGGUCGAUCGCUCGCAGUGUGCGGCGAGGCGGUGGGCUCGGAGGCGGAGCGGGAGGGAGCAUGCUUGGCUGCUGCCAGGCCUCGGGGCGAGCCCCGGCCGCCGUCUCCACCUCCGCCUCCUUCUUCUCCUCCUCCGUCUCCUCCUCCUCUUCCAGUCCCGCCGCCGCCGCCGCAGCCAACAUGGCUGCGCCCCGGAGCCCGGGAGGCGGCCGCUGAGAGCUGCCCGAUCCUCCGGGCCCGAGGCUCGCAGGCCCCGGCCCAUGGGCCCCGCCGCCUCGCAGCUCCCGGUGAGCUAGGCUGCCGCCCAGCUCGGCGUGCAGCCCGCCAGCCUCAGGGAUCCCCGGCGCCGUCCGGCGGGGCGGGGCGGGGCGGCGCGGCGCGGGCCGCCACUAUGGAGCCGCAGCGCCGGGAGCUGCUCGCCCAGUGUCAGCAGAGCCUGGCCCAGGCCAUGACCGAGGUGGAGGCCGUGCUCGGGCUGCUGGAGGCCGCGGGAGCGCUGAGCCCGGGCGAGCGGCGGCAGCUGGACGAAGAAGAGGCUGGAGGAGCCAAGGCGGAGCUGCUGCUCCAGCUGCUCUUGGCCAAGGAGCAGGACCACUUCCAGGACCUGCGUGCGGCGCUGGAGAAGACGCAGCCUCACCUGCUGCCCAUUCUCUACCUGAACGGCGUCGUCGGGCCGCCGCCGUCCGCAGAGGGCGCGGGCUCCACCUACAGUGUCCUGUCCAUCAUGCCCUCAGACUCGGAGAGCAGCAGCUCCCUCAGCAGUGUGGGUACUACUGGGAAGGCACCAUCCCCACCACCCCUCCUCACUGAGCAGCAGGUCAAUGACAAGGUGGAGAACCUCUCCAUUCAGCUGCGGCUGAUAACCCGCGAGAGGAAUGAGCUACGCAAGCGCCUGGCCUUCGCCACCCAUGGAGCUACCUUCGACAAGAGGCCCUACCACAGGCUGAAUCCUGAUUAUGAGAGGCUAAAGAUCCAGUGUGUGCGGGCCAUGUCAGAUCUGCAGAGUUUACAGAACCAGCACACCAACGCCUUGAAGAGGUGCGAGGAGGUGGCCAAGGAGACAGACUUCUAUCACACCCUCCACAGUCGGCUCCUGAGUGACCAGACUCAGCUGAAGGAUGACGUGGACAUGCUGAGACGGGAGAACGGGAAGCUGCUGCGUGAGCGGAAUCUUCUACAGCAGUCCUGGGAGGAUAUGAAGAGACUCAGGGAGGAGGACCAGAAGGAGAUAGGUGACCUCCGGGCCCAACAACAGCAGGUGCUGAAGCACAAUGGCUCCUCAGAGAUCCUCAACAAGCUGUAUGACACGGCCAUGGACAAGCUGGAAGUGGUUAAGAAGGAUUAUGAUGCUCUGCGGAAGAGGUACAGCGAGAAAGUCGCCAUGCACAACUCAGACCUGAGCCGCCUAGAGCAACUGGGGGAGGAGAACCAGCGCCUGCAAAAGCAGACGGAGAUGUUGACCCAGCAGAGGGACACAGCUAUCCAGUUGCAGCACCAGUGUGCCCUCUCUCUGAGGAGGUUCGAGACAAUCCACCAUGAGCUGAGCAAGGCCACAGCCCAGAACAAGGACCUACAAUGGGAGAUGGAGUUGUUGCAGUCUGAGUUGACAGAGCUGAGAAGCAAGCAGGUGAAAACCGCCAAGGAGUCUGAGAAAUACAAGGAGGAGCGUGACGCUGUGUACAGCGAGUACAAGCUCAUCAUGAGUGAGCGCGACCAGGUCAUCUCCGAGCUAGAUAAGCUACAGACAGAGGUGGAGCUGGCCGAGUCCAAGCUCAAGAGCAGCACGUCUGAGAAGAAGGCAGCCAGCGAGGAGAUGGAGGCUCUGCGGCAGGUCAAAGACACAGUGAGCAUGGAUGCUGGGAGAGCCAACAAAGAGGUGGAAAUCCUCCGAAAGCAGUGCAAGGCCCUGUGCCAGGAGCUAAAGGAAGCCCUCCAGGAGGCAGACGUGGCCAAGUGCCGGCGGGACUGGGCCUUUCAGGAGCGGGACAAAAUUGUGGCAGAGCGUGACAGCAUCCGGACCCUGUGUGACAAUCUGAGGCGAGAGCGGGAUCGGGCUGUGAGUGAGCUGGCUGAAGCCCUUCGUAGCCUGGACGACACCCGGAAGCAGAAGAAUGAUGUUAGCCGUGAACUUAAGGAACUCAAGGAACAGAUGGAAUGCCAGCUGGAGAAGGAGGCCCGGUUCCGCCAGCUGAUGGCCCACAGUUCUCACGACUCUGCCAUUGACACGGAUUCCAUGGAGUGGGAAACGGAAGUUGUGGAGUUUGAGAGAGAGAGGGAAGAUAUUGACUUGAAAGCGCUCGGGUUUGACAUGGCAGAAGGUGUGAAUGAGCCUUGCUUCCCUGGGGACUGUGGAAUAUUUGUUACUAAAGUGGACAAAGGAAGCAUUGCUGAUGGUCGCUUAAGGGUCAAUGACUGGCUGCUGAGAAUCAAUGACGUGGACCUCAUCAACAAGGACAAGAAACAGGCUAUCAAGGCACUCCUCAAUGGAGAGGGAUCUAUCAACAUGGUCGUGAGACGGAGGAAGUCCCUUGGUGGGAAGGUCGUCACUCCUCUGCACAUCAGCCUUAGUGGACAGAAAGACAGUGGCAUCAGUUUGGAGAAUGGAGUGUAUGCUGCUGCUGUGGUACCUGGAAGCCCUGCUGCCAAAGAGGGCUCUCUUGCCGUGGGAGACAGGAUUGUUGCGAUCAAUGGUAUUGCACUGGACAAUAAGUCUCUGAAUGAAUGUGAAUCACUGCUACGGAGCUGUCAAGACUCCCUGACCCUCUCCCUCCUGAAGGUGUUUCCCCAGAGCUCCUCGUGGAGUGGCCAGAGCAUCUUUGAAAAUACUAAGGACUCAGAUAAGAUGCUGAGCUGUCGAGCCCAUGGCCCAGAGGUCCAGGCACAUAACAAACGGAACUUGUUACAGCACAAUAACUCCACGCAGACGGACAUCUUCUACUUAGAUCGGCUGGAGGACAGGAAGGAGCUGGGUCCCCCUGGAGGCAGUAGUUCUUUUCUGCACAAGCCAUUCCCUGGAGCCUCCUCCCCAGCAUCUCCCCAGGCCUGCCCUAGCACCUCUGAGCGUAGUCUGAACUCAUUCCGCUCUGAUGCCUCUGCCGAACGUGGCUACGGGCCGCUGGACAUGCAGAGCCAGCGGCCACUGCUGUCUUUCGAGACUGAGGUGGACCCCUGUGGGAUAGUAGAGGCUCCCCUGGACAAGGUAGAUCCUGAUGGCUCCAACAGUGGUGGGACCUGGCCCAAGGCUGUGCUCGGUUCUACAUCAGGGCCUGAGAAGCUCUCCGUGUACAAGAAGCCCAAGCAAAGGAAGUCUAUCUUUGACCCAAAUACUUUCAAGCGCCCACAGACACCCCCCAAAAUAGACUACCCUCUUCCAGGCCCUGGGCUUGCUCACUCCCCUCAGCCCUCCAAAAGGGUAGGGUCUAUGACACCCCCGAAACCCCCCAGGAGAAGUGACUCUAUCAAGUUCCAGCAUAGGCUGGAGACCAGCUCUGAGUCAGAAGCCACCCUGGUGGGCAGCUCACCAUCCACCAGCCCUCCGAGUGCCCCAGCCCCCAGCAUGGACCCUGGGGAGCCCAUGCAUGGUUCACCCACUCGAAAGGCCAGGGUCCGCAUUGCCUCCAGUUACCAUUCUGAAGGGGAUGGAGACACCUCCUACCUGCCUGCCAAAAAGUCCUGUGAUGAGGACCUCACCUCCCAGAAAGUGGACGAGAUGGGGCAGAAGCGGCGCCGGCCAAAGUCUGCCCCUAGCUUUCGGCCCAAGAUCACUCCAGUAGUGAUCCCCGCUCAGUGCCUCGAGGACCAGGAGUGCAUUCCAGCCUGUGGAGAGCUCUCCCCAGAGGUCCAGGAAUGGUCCCCGUACUCACCAGGGCAUGCUAGCCGACAUGGCAACCCUCCACUCUACCCCAACCGGCCGUCUGUGGGCACUGUUCCCCGGAGUAUGACUCCCAGCACCACUGUGAGCUCCAUUCUACGGAACCCCAUCUACACUGUGCGCAGUCACAGGGUGGUUCCCUGUGGCUCUCCACCUGUGUCCCGUGAUGCCGGCUCCCAGGGCUUGUCUCCCAGUGCCCAGCACCAGGGACGCCUCAGCCUGGACCUGAGUCACAGGGCCUGCAGUGACUACUCUGACAUGAGAGCCUCCCAGGGUUCCAACUCCCUGCCCUCCAGUGCCCGUCUUGGGUCUUCCAGCAACCUGCAGUUCAAGGCAGAGCGGAUUAAGAUCCCAUUAACACCAAGAUAUCCCCGAUCAGUCAUGGGCUCUGAUAGAGGUUCACUGUCACAUUCUGAAUGUAGCACUCCUCCCCGGUCCCCACUGAACAUUGAUACCCUGUCCUCCUGUAGCCAGCCUCAGACCUCAGCCUCCACAUUGCCUAGAAUUGCUGUUAACCCCACUUCCCACGGGGAGCGAAGAAAGGACAGGCCUUACCUAGAGGAGCCACGGCACGUCAAGGUGCAGAAGGGCUCAGAGCCUCUGGGAAUCUCCAUUGUGAGUGGAGAGAAGGGUGGCAUCUAUGUCUCCAAGGUGACCACAGGGAGCAUUGCCCACCAGGCUGGCCUGGAGUACGGAGACCAGUUACUUGAGUUCAAUGGCAUAAAUCUGAGGAGUGCCACCGAGCAACAGGCCCGGCUAAUCAUCGGACAGCAGUGCGAUACCAUCACCAUCCUGGCCCAGUACAACCCACACAUUCACCAGCUCAACAGCCACUCCCGCUCCAGCUCCCACCUGGACCCUGCUGCCACCCCUUACUCCACUCUCCAGGGCAGCAGUGCUGUAACUCCGGAACAUCCCUCUGUCAUUGACCCACUGAUGGAACAGGAUGAAGGCCCUGGCACUCCCCCAGCCAAGCAGAGCAUCCCCAGCUCCAGGAUUGUGGGAGAUACCAGCAAGAAGACUUCUGAACCCCGCAUAGUUUUCAUCAAGAAAUCCCAGUUGGAUCUGGGGGUGCACUUGUGUGGUGGGAACCUACACGGAGUGUUUGUGGCUGAGGUGGAAGAUGACAGUCCUGCCAAGGGUCCUGAUGGCCUUGUGCCAGGGGACCUCAUCCUUGAGUAUGGCAACCUGGAUGUGCGCAGCAGGACAGUGGAGGAUGUCUAUGUGGAGAUGCUGAAGCCUAAGGACAAUAUUCGCCUGAAGGUGCAGUACCGCCAGGAGGAGUUCAACAGAGUCCAGGGCCUGCCUGGUGACAGCUUCUAUAUCAGGGCCCUAUAUGACCGUCUGGCAGAAGUGGAGCCUGAACUGAGUUUUAAGAAAGAUGACAUCCUGUAUGUGGAUGACACAUUGCCCCAGGGAAUGUUUGGGUCCUGGAUGGCUUGGCAGCUGGAUGAGAAUGCCCAGAAGAUCCAGCGUGGGCAGAUUCCCAGCAAAUAUGUGAUGGACCAAGAGUUCUCAAGGAGGCUCAGUAUGUCUGAGGUCAAAGACGACAACACAGCAAAAACACUGUCGGCAGCUGCACGUCGGUCCUUCUUCAGAAGGAAACAUAAACACAAACACAGUGGGUCCAAAGAUGGCAAGGACCUGCUCGCUCUGGAUACCUUUUCCAAUGACUCCAUUCCGCUCUUUGAAGAUUCGGUGAGCCUGGCCUAUCAGCGGGUCCAGAAGGUGGACUGUCCCUCUCUGCGGCCGGUCCUUAUCUUGGGGCCUCUACUGGAUGUGGUGAAAGAGAUGCUAGUGAAUGAAGCACCUGGCAGGUUCUGCAGAUGCCCGCUCGAGGUGAUGAAGGCUUCCCAACAAGCCAUUGAGCGGGGCGUCAAAGACUGCCUGUUUGUGGACUACAAGCGGAGGAGUGGCCAUUUUGAUGUUACCACCGUGGCUUCAAUAAAGGAGAUCACAGAAAAGAACCGGCACUGUCUUCUGGACAUCGGCCCGCAUGCCAUUGAGAGGCUGCAUCAUAUGCACAUCUACCCCAUUGUCAUCUUCAUCCGCUACAAGAGCGCCAAGCACAUCAAAGAGCAGAGAGACCCUGUCUACUUGAGGGACAAGGUGACGCAGAGGCAUUCCAAAGAGCAAUUUGAGACGGCACAGAAGAUCGAUCAAGAGUACAGCAGGUACUUCACAGGGGUUGUCCAAGGUGGAGCCCUGUCGGGCAUUUGCGCUCAGAUCCUGGCAAUGGUCAAUCAAGAACAAAGUAAAGUCCUGUGGAUCCCUGCUUGCCCACCCUAGCAGAAAACUGUGCCAGAGGCGCCUCCAUGACCAGAGGACAGCUGGAUGGCUCUUUCCUAGCCCCAGAGAGGUCUGUCUGUCUAUGGACCUGGAACCAGGACUGCACGAACACCUCCUUUGUAGACGGAGAGCCCCCAAAAUUUGGGCCCAGCUGGUGGAUGGCACUAUUCACACGUCCACUUUGAAACAUAAAAGCAAACACAAAAGACUUGAUCCUCCCAGAGGCGCUGUGCCCAGGGCCUUGCUGGUCACAAGUUUACAAGCCUUUUCUAAGUAUUUGGUUGUUUAUGUUUACUUGAAUGGCUCCAUGUUGGUGCCAAGCCCCUGAUCCCAAUCCCUCUGUCACUCCCUGUUGGUUUGAUGUUCCUGUCUUGGGCAGGACAGUUCUGGAACCUCAUUGGGGGUGGGGUGGUGUUGCUUUGUUUUAGGAAGUUUCUGUCAGUGGGACCAGAGUUUUGACAGACUUCCUGCUCCUCAGUGGUCCCUCUCCUGGAAGACAUCACCACUGCAGGUGCUCAGCGCACUUGUUGGUACCAGAACCAGCGCCCUGGUGGGACCAACUUGCCAUGGCAGCGCUUUCCUCCAGUACACGGAAGGCAGCUUUGCAUUCUUGCAGCUUCUCCUCCUGGCCUUCCUACUCGCCCCCUGGCCCCUUGUUUCUUCUCCAGCUGCAUUUCUAUUUAAACAUCACGUCUAGUCCACCAGAGCCUCGAGCUUCCUCAGUGAUGCAGUUGGGUCCUCAGCAUGGGGCAUGGGCAUGCCAUUUCUUCCUGUAGGCUUGGAGAUGCCGGGAAGCCUUUGCCAGUACAAGGUGGCAGGGUAACCCUUACACUGGCACAGAUGUACCAGCUCUUUCUGGCUUGAAGCUACUCAUCUAUUGAAAACCCAAGAAGAAAAGACGUUUUCUCAACAUUCUUAGCCCGACUCCACGAAGACAUCUCCAUUGUUGGGUCGUCCCCGUGUCCCCGUCCCGUCGUCCCGUCCCGCCGUCCCCCCCCCCGUCCCCCCCGCCUUCUGAUGCCAGAUCUAUUUUGGUAAAGAGCUGAUGCGCUCCCUUCAUCAACUGUGUGUCCUAUUAAUAGGUACUGUACUGGGUUCUGUGUGUCACUGGGGUAGGACCUAUAUUUUAAUACUGUUCCUAACAUUUCAUUUUAUUAGCAAGAAAUCUUUAAUUUCAUUUUAUUCUUUGUAAUUCUAGACAUUAGAUUGUAGUUUAGCCAUUUUUUAAAGGGAUGUAUUUUCUUGCACAGCUGUUUAAAAAGAGAGCGAGAGUUGCAGCCCUCCAGGCUGUCCUGUGCCUUACAGGCACACAUUUUCUAGCUCAGACAACUGACAGACGCUGCUGACCACUCUCAAGGUCUUACUUGCACAGUUGUGGGACAAGGACUAUUUUCCUGGUCAUAGGGCCCAGGCAGGUAUGGAUCUGACAGGUGGGAUACGCUGUACUAAAAUGUUACUUUGUAUCAAAAAUAAAACAGACUUGAACACAAAGGGA
Molecule: RNA transcript, 7665 nt
Organism: Mesocricetus auratus (golden hamster)
Lineage: Eukaryota; Metazoa; Chordata; Mammalia; Rodentia; Cricetidae
Gene: Dlg5
Gene name: discs large MAGUK scaffold protein 5
Exons: 33
Source: RefSeq, a predicted model, not a curated record